RNAcentral lists this ribosomal RNA (366 nucleotides) under Gemmatimonadota bacterium. Its description in RNAcentral is "partial 23S ribosomal RNA". It matches the Rfam family "Bacterial large subunit ribosomal RNA", at positions 1 to 378 of the family's 2925-position model. The record is from RNAcentral. Lineage: Bacteria; Pseudomonadati; Gemmatimonadota.
GGUCAAGCGAGUAAGUGCGCACGGCGGAUGCCUUGGCACAGACCGGCGACGAAGGACGUGGCAAGCUGCGAAAAGCCUCGGGGAGCUGCAAGCAAGCUGGGAUCCGGGGGUGUCCGAAUGGGGGAACCCGGCGGGAGCGAUCCCGUCACCCUUGCGAGGGAGCCAACCCAGGGAACUGAAACAUCUAAGUACCUGGAGGAAAAGAAAUCAAGCGAGAUUCCCAGAGUAGCGGCGAGCGAAAAGGGAAGAGCCCAAACCCGGGCGGGGUGACCCGGCCGGGGGUUGUGGGGCCGUAUCAUCAGGCGAGGCGAAAGCAUAGCGGAACGGUACUGGAACGUACGACCGCAGAGGGUGAGAGUCCCGUAU